This 253-nucleotide ribosomal RNA is filed under the name uncultured bacterium. Its description in RNAcentral is "partial 16S ribosomal RNA". It matches the Rfam family "Bacterial small subunit ribosomal RNA", at positions 524 to 776 of the family's 1533-position model. The record is from RNAcentral.
UACGAAGGGGGCUAGCGUUGCUCGGAAUCACUGGGCGUAAAGGGCGCGUAGGCGGGUCUUUAAGUCAGGGGUGAAAUCCUGGAGCUCAACUCCAGAACUGCCUUUGAUACUGAAGAUCUUGAGUUCGGGAGAGGUGAGUGGAACCGCGAGUGUAGAGGUGAAAUUCGUAGAUAUUCGCAAGAACACCAGUGGCGAAGGCGGCUCACUGGCCCGAUACUGACGCUGAGGCACGAAAGCGUGGGGAGCAAACAGG